GAGUCUCCUGAAGGAACGUUGAAGACGACGACGUUGAUAGGCCGGGUGUGUAAGCGCAGCGAUGCGUUGAGCUAACCGAUACUAAUGAACCGUGAGGCUUAACCUUACAACGCCGAAG
RNAcentral lists this ribosomal RNA (118 nucleotides) under Escherichia coli. Its description in RNAcentral is "partial 23S ribosomal RNA". The stretch from base 1 to 106 matches the Rfam family "Bacterial large subunit ribosomal RNA", at positions 2820 to 2925 of the family's 2925-position model. Lineage: Bacteria; Pseudomonadati; Pseudomonadota; Gammaproteobacteria; Enterobacterales; Enterobacteriaceae. The record is from RNAcentral.